CCUACGGGAGGCAGCAGUGGGGAAUUUUGGACAAUGGGCGCAAGCCUGAUCCAGCAAUGCCGCGUGAGUGAAGAAGGCCUUCGGGUUGUAAAGCUCUUUUGUCAGGGAAGAAACGGUGGUUCCUAAUACGGACUACUAAUGACGGUACCUGAAGAAUAAGCACCGGCUAACUACGUGCCAGCAGCCGCGGUAAUACGUAGGGUGCAAGCGUUAAUCGGAAUUACUGGGCGUAAAGCGUGCGCAGGCGGUUAUAUAAGUCAGAUGUGAAAUCCCCGGGCUCAACCUGGGAACUGCAUUUGAGACUGUAUGGCUAGAGUGUGUCAGAGGGGGGUAGAAUUCCACGUGUAGCAGUGAAAUGCGUAGAUAUGUGGAGGAAUACCGAUGGCGAAGGCAGCCCCCUGGGAUAACACUGACGCUCAUGCACGAAAGCGUGGGGAGCAAACAGGAUUAGAUACCCUGGUAGUCCACGCCCUAAACGAUGUCUACUAGUUGUCGGGACUUAAUUGUCUUGGUAACGCAGCUAACGCGUGAAGUAGACCGCCUGGGGAUACGGUCGCAAGNUUAAAACUCAAAGGAAUUGACGG
RNAcentral lists this ribosomal RNA (584 nucleotides) under uncultured bacterium. RNAcentral describes it as "bacterial SSU rRNA". It matches the Rfam family "Bacterial small subunit ribosomal RNA", at positions 338 to 916 of the family's 1533-position model. The record is from RNAcentral.